CCUACGGGUGGCAGCAGUGAGGAAUAUUGGUCAAUGGGCGAGAGCCUGAACCAGCCAAGUCGCGUGAGGGAGUACUGCCCUAUGGGUUGUAAACCUCUUUUGUCGGGGAGCAAAAGCCGGACGUGUCCGGCUGUGAGAGUACCCGAAGAAAAAGCAUCGGCUAACUCCGUGCCAGCAGCCGCGGUAAUACGGAGGAUGCGAGCGUUAUCCGGAUUUAUUGGGUUUAAAGGGUGCGCAGGCGGAUCUUUAAGUCAGCGGUAAAAUCGUGGGGCUCAACCCCAUCCAGCCGUUGAAACUUGGGAUCUAGAGUGUGCGAGAGGUAUGCGGAAUGCGUGGUGUAGCGGUGAAAUGCAUAGAUAUCACGCAGAACCCCGAUUGCGAAGGCAGCAUACCGGUGCACAACUGACGCUCAGGCACGAAAGCGUGGGUAUCGAACAGGAUUAGAUACCCCUGUAGUC
Molecule: ribosomal RNA, 458 nt
Filed under: uncultured bacterium
Lineage: Bacteria
Description: partial 16S ribosomal RNA
Rfam family: Bacterial small subunit ribosomal RNA
Source: RNAcentral